AUGCGAUUUAAGGAACUAAUGCCUGUGGGGAAGGUUUGUAGGAAUCUUUUGAGCUGCAGUGCAUCAGAAUUCAGUUUUAUAAGGCUGUUCUCUAAUUCCCAUUAUCUCUCUUCUAUCCCAACAAAUCUCAGGACAUUAGAUUCAUUUUCAUUUUAUUUUGCUCUUGUACUGCUGGGGUCUGUGAGCCAUAUCCAGGUUAGUCUUAACUGAAGCAAUGCUCCUAUGCCAACAUCAAGAAGUCCUGAUUUCCCUAGCUUUAGUAAUGUAAAUGCUGAAGGGUCUGAUCUUUCCAGAUCACUAAUAGUCAUCGAUGCUUCAGGCAUAGAUUUUUCUUACGCACUUAAGAUAUAUACCUAAUUACUGGCUUUGUGUCCUUGUUUUCAAGUUCUAGUCAGAUGAGUGUCUCCUACAGGUGAUUCAGAAUCAAAAUGAGUCAGCAUUCCCCUUGCCCAAAGUGCCCCUUGUCCAUCAAUUUAAACAAUGUAUGGAGGGGUUUCUUCACGUUCAUAUAGGAGCUAAAGCCUAGAACAGACCAAAACAUAAAAAGCUUUAAAACAGGACCAGUGAAUCCCACCAAUGUGAUGUGACAAUGAAGAAGUUGGUUACUGCCUCUUUAGGGGACCUGAUAGGACUAAUCACUGAUUCUUGUAUUUAACAUUCUAAUUUUUAUUUUAUUUUCUUUUUGAACAUCUUCAAAUAAUACUCUGUCUAGGUCUGUGUUCCAUCCGCAUGAUUUCUCUGAUUCUCUUAAUUAAGUAACAGUCCAUUCUUUUCUAGCCACUAAGGAUGAGGCAGUUCCCUACAUUGCUAAUCUGAUUUUCUUGUGCUAUAACAGCUAUUUGUAGUCAUUCAGCAAUUUUCUACUUUUUAUAUCAGUGUUUUUAUUGAAAAAUAUUUCUAGUGUCUCUUUUUAUCUUUCAAAAAAAUAAACCUGAAUGUUGGUGAUUGUGCUUCAUGGAACUGUCUGGCUUUGGUGUCUUAGAAAACUCAAGAAACUUGAGGAACUGUACUAUUCCUAUGGUGUUUCAAGAACCACCACAAGUGCAGUUACAGAAUGUCACGUUAUAGUUGACUAUUACUGCUGUCCUUGUUGCCAGAGCAGAACCACACCUAGUUUAGCUUCCUUGUAAUGGCUUCCACGCUCAAAAGUCCUCACAAAAAGUCCAGUUCCAGGGUGAGCAUCUAAAUACCCUCUUGGUUUCUUUGCUAACUGAUAGUCUGGAAGGUCUUUAAUUGUGCUGGAACCUAGCAGCCCCACUGGAAAGCUGAUUGCUUUACAGUUCUGGUGAAUGAAGUCCAGAAGCUGUGAGUAAGGAUGUUACUUUGAAGAGCCAGAAAACUCUUCAGAAAUGCUCCAAAUUUGUGAAUGCUGAGAAGAAAAAAGUUACUAACUUUAUUUUCCCAACUCACUCAAAUAUGGGCAUACUCGUCUUGACUUUCCCCACUUUACCAGACUAACCAUAACCAUCCCUUUUUACUUUAGAGAGUCUUGCUACUCGGAGAAGUCUGAAAUAAAAUUCUUUAAUCAACUUUAAUCAAGCUGAUCAAAAUUCUUUAAUCAACUAGCCAGCAAUUUGAAGCCACAUUUGUCACUAAACCCACUGUUAAGAGCUGAAAAUUUCCAAUCUUUGGGAUUCAUUUUGGUAAUUCUGUGUAUGGUCAUGUUUUCUUUGGGUUAGUCAGUGAAAUUUUGCAGAAACAAUUGCUUACAAAGGCGAAUUUUGACUUCUCAGCCACCAGGGGAGAUUACUUAUUUGCGGUGACAUAACUAAGGGCUUCUCUUCACAUACAGCGCUACAGCAGCAGAGCUGUACCAGUACAGCUGCGCUGCUGUAGCGCUUUAGUGAAGAAGAUAUUCACCAAUGGGAGAGCUUCUUCUGUCAGCAUAGUUAAUCCACCUCCUUGAGAAGUGGUAGCUAUGUCGAUGCGAGAAGAUGUCUUGUUGAUAUAGCGCUGUCGAUUUUCCACACCCCUGAGUGACUUCUACUGAUACAAGUCUGUAGUGUUGACCUCGCCUAAGUUCUAAUGAAUAAAAACAGAACAUAAGAAUGGCCAUAUUGGGCCAGACUAGUGGUCCAUCUAUCCCAGGGUCCUGUCUUUCGACAGUGGCCAAUGCCAGGUUCUUCAGAGGGAACAGAACAGACAGUCGUUGAGUGAUCCAUCCCCUGUUGUCCACUCCCAGCUUUGGGCAGUCAGAGGCUAGGGACAACCAGAGUAUGGGGUUGCAUCCCUGACCAUCUUGGCUAAUAGCUCCAUGAACAGAUCUAAUCUUUUUUUAAACCCCGUUAUAGUUUUGACCUUCACAACAUCCCCUGGCAACAAGUUCCACAGGCUGAUUAUGCAUUGUGUGAAGAAGUACUUCCUUUUGUUUGUUUUAAAUCUGCUGCCUAUUAACUUCAUUGGGUGACUCCAGUUCUUGUGUUAUAUGAAGAAGUAAAGAACACUUCUUCAUUCACUUUUUACACACCAUUUGUGAUUUUAUAGACAUCUAUCAGAUCUCCCCUCUUAGUCAUCUCUUUUCCAAGGUGAAAAGUCCCAGUCUUAUUAAUCUCUCCUUAUAAGGAAUCUGUUCCAUACCCUUAAUAAUUUUUGUUGCCUUACUCUGUACCUUUUCCAAUUCUAAUAUAUCAUUUUUGAGAUGGGGAGACCAGAACUGUACACAGUAUUCAAGGUGUGGCCGUAUCAUGGGAUUAUAUAGUGGCGUUAUGAUAUUAUCUCUUAUUAUCUAUCCAUUUCCUAAUUGAUUACCUUUUUGUUAGUAACUAAGUCACAGUAACUACUUUUGUUUUCACUGGGUGAGGGAGAUGGCAUGCUAUAAGUGUGAGAAGUUGUCUAACUCGCGAUGAAACGUGCACACAGCAUGGCAAAAACUAGCUAUUCCAACCUAGAAAAUAGUCAAGGAUCAAGCUAUACAUUAUAAACCAGUUUGUACUAAUAGGAAAUAGCAAAAAUAUAAGACAUCUCAGAAAAAGAGAUUGAUAUUGAUAAGACUGAUAGUGACCUCAUUUUGUAUGUGUUUGAAAACGGCAAAAAAGUAGUAAUUAUAUCUGGGUAAACCUGAGAUGGAAAGGACAACUGUUCAGAAUGGUUCUUGAUACUGGCUUCAUAAUCUUAGUAAUUUUACUAGAAAAUUCAAAGAGAAACAAUAGCUGAGAGCAAAAAUAUGUACAGGGGAAAGUCAUUCCAGAGAUUAUGACUGUAAAUGUGCAUAAAAUGCAACAACAAUUAUUAUAAUUCCAAUCCCACCUUGCUUGGCAGAGCAUUACUCAAGAAGAUUCAUAUUGACUGACAGGAGAUGGCUUUAUUGGCUGAGACACCAAUAACAACUACUGCUAUACUGGUUGUACUGUCUUUGAAACAUUCAGCAUUGUUGAAAAGACCUAUUACAGUCUAUAAAAAUGAUUAAGAUCUGAUUAAUCAUUAGUACCACUACCAACCUAGAUUCUGUAAGGCAUGACCUAUUCCAUUACAUUGGGUCAGAGAGUAGAUACAAACUUAGAAAGGCUAGUUAGAACAGGAUUUCCUAUAGAAUUCAGUGACUUGGUCAAGCCAGUUUUACCUAUUAUUGAAAAAGAUGGGAAGGUAAAAAUCUAUAGAGACUUUAAAAUCAGGGUCAAUCCCUCUCAAUGUGUCUCAGUAUUCUUUACUAUAGACCAGUGGUUCCCAAACUGGGGUUCGUGAUAUUGUUACAGGGGCUUCUCGGGGGGAAAAAUCCCUAAUGGCGGACAGAGCUGUCCCUAUGGACCCAGGUAGCACGGGGCCAGCAGCCCAGAGCCUGUGGACUUCCAAGGGCUAAGCAGAUCAAAGCAAGCAUAUCUAUCACAGAGAGGAGAUUUAAACUUCAAGACUCCUUAUAAGAAAUAGAAAGGGAGGUGGAUAUUUUUGGCUGUUUUUUUAAUUUAAAUAGGCAGCUAGUAUUGUUUUUAAAAUGAUUAUGAAGAACAAGUUUAAGCUUUGUUGUAACGUGCGUUGUUUGCCUGGACUGCUCAAGACCUGAAUACUUGUGUAGGAGGAACUCUUUGAGUUGGCUUUUUAAAUACCUUCAUGCUGUUUCACAUCUGAUACUCCUUGAUGAAACAUAGGAGCAUUGUCUUUAUAACAGGCUUAUUCAAAGUGAUACAAGCUACGAAAGUGAGAUCUUGGAAGAGUGUUUCCAUUUUCAUAAUGUAAUAAAAAUACUGUAAUGAUAAAUAAUUAAUAAUAAAUAGUGUGUAAUAAGCAUGUCAUAAAAACAAAUUUUAUAUUUCCAAGAUCACUGCUUUUAUAAUUUAUACUCGGGUAAAGGAGAAAAUCCCUGGAAAUAUUCAUUUUUAGGAGGGGGUUCGCAAAACUUGACAUUUUAGUGAAGGGGGUUCACAGGUUGUUAAAGUUUGGGAACCACUGCUAUAGACUGAAGACUUGUUUACCACCUGUCCAGCAAAUAAACAUUUCAAUGAAAUAGAUUUGGCACAAAUACAUUUUUACAUGCUGAUGCAAGAUUAAUCAAAGCAGAUCCUGACAAUAAAUGCACCGAAAAGUCUGUUCCUUAUAAUUGUUUAUCAUUCGGUAUGGUAUCUGCUCCUACUACAGAUCAAAGGAUAGUAAAGCAAAUUUUAUGAUGUCUGCCAGGAAUAGAAUGCUGUCUUGACAAUAUCUUCAUUAUUGGGGAAAAAAGACCAAGGGUAUUUAAGGAACAGAUAAGAUUCUUCAAUGAUGAGGAGACUAUAGCUUGCAUUUUCUCAACAGUUCUGACACAUUACAAACCCAGUUUUAAACUGGCUUGUGAUGUACCUCCAUAUGGCAUAAGAACUUUCAACUCCCAUAUGGAAAGGAAAGACUAGUUGCCGGGAAAAAUAGUAAAAGCCAAACAGAGUUAUGCCUAAGCCUACAAAGGAGGCACUCAGCCUAGUGCUAGACUGAUUCAGGAAAGUAUCCAUAUUAAAGGCAACAAGUAAGCAUGUUUAAUUCCCAAUGGGAAAGCAUUGAUCCCUAAUGGAAUUUAAGAAUCUGUUCUGAACAGGGAUGGUCUUAAGUACGUGCUUAAGUGUUUUCAUGAAUUUAUGCCACAUCAUACGAGUACCUACCGUAGCCUUGACAUUAUACAAAUAAUUUAUUCUAUUUACAAUAGACCACUUACCCCACUUCUUAGACCAGCCUUAAAUCAGUUACAUACUUUCAAUAUAGGGCAUUAUUUCUAUCUGUGCAUAAAUGUGGUAUUUUGCAGUGGUGGUUGUACUCAGUGGUGGUACAACUGGUAUUUUUUAUUUGUCACACAUAAAACAUUUAAUACAUUUGAAAAAUACCAUAAUUUCUGAAUUAAACUUGGAAAGACACUUUUUUUAGGUAUGACAGGCACUUCAUGAAAAUACCUAGGAACAUUUACCUCAUGGUGGAAUGAACUUUCCAGUCACAAAAGAUUCUUUCAUACCAGAUGAGGUACUUGGGUGAUAAUUAAACUGCAAUCACAAAUAUUUAAGAAAGGGAGUUUCUGAACAGCAAUAAUAACUAGGCUACAGAUAAAUUUGGCAUCCAGAGUUUGAAUUUCAGAUGUAAUCAACAGCAGAAGAGUGCACCAGUUGUCUACAAGAGCAUGGCAACAAAAACAUGUUUGUAACCCUGGUUUUAACCAACAAAAUCUUGGCAACAGCUACAUCUGGAAUUUGCUAAGACAUUUUUAGGUGAAAUGUUUUUAGUCCUAAGUGAUACUUGCUAAAAAUGUCCAGAAGUCCACAACACGUACUCUAACUACUAAUGGUCUAAGAGACUCAUUUGAUACAUAUGGAAUUCCAAGCAGCUAAUGUGUGAUAGUAGGCACCAAUUUACAUUACAAGAGUUCCAAUACAUUUCUCAGCUCAAACAAUGUAACAAAAAUUCACCAAGUGCCAUGUUAUCCAGCUGCUAACAACAUUGCUGAAUACUAAACAGAGACACUUAAAUAAAUACUUUGUUUCAAAGCAGCAUAUUUUUUCUUGUUGUCCUAUUGCAGUGUUAUACAACUGACAAACUAAACUCCUGUUGUGCUGAUGGUGAGUCAGAAACUUAAGUCUUGAUGUGGUGAAGCUAGAGAUAAAUCAGUGCAUGUUGAAUGAAAAAGCAACUCAGGUUAAAUUCAGAAAAAAAUCUGUUAGCAACAUUUUUAGGAAGGUGAUUUGUGCCCUUAUGAGGAAUUAUUCAAAGAUAAGAGAAAUUGCUGACUGGCAAAGUAGUGUCAAAUAGACUGAGCGCUCAUCAACACUGCUGCGGUAAAUUGAUCUAACUUACGCAACUUCAGUUAUGUGAAUAACGUAAAUGAAGUUGACGUAGUUAGAUCUGUUACUGCGGUGGCUACACUGCGUUGUGUCGAUGGGAGAGCUUCUCCCGUUGAUUUCUCUUAUGCUUCUCCCAUCGAUUUAGCAUGUCUUCACCAGAACCGCUAAAUCGACACUCACUGCAUCGAUUGCAGUGGUGCCAAUUUACCUGUAAAUGUAGACAUGCCCUGAGUAUCCUAUAUUGGCAAUGUUGAAUUUGGCACCUACACACCUGCUAGCUUAAGAGAUCAUCUCAAAGGUGUUUUAUCUGAAAUUACUCCAUUACCAAAGAUUCUUUAGGACCUUCAAGCCAUAGUAAUCACACUCAAAGAAUGUUGCAGGAGGUACUACAGAGAUUACAAUAAUAGUACCAGAAUUAACAUCUGACAUUUUCAAUAGAAGUUCAGAAGCCAUUGGAUAAAUUUUGUCAUUUGGGUAACUGAAAAUAUCUGAACAAAAUAGCUAAACUGAAAAAAGUUUCCUUUGUGUUGAAGGAGACUAUCCUCCAUGUUUAAGGAAGCUACUUAAAUGCUAGAAUUUAUGAACAUGUAGAAUCUCAUUUGUUAACAAAAAAUUUUUAAAUUUGUUACACAGAAAAUUUAAGACUUCAUUUACAAGAAAUAGGAACAUAUAUUUUCUAUUCUUAUCCUGAGACAAAUAUUUUAGGUGUGAGGAUCACUUAGAUAUUGCAUUAGCCCAAUAUUAACUUGCUUAGUCAUCAGUUCAUGGCAGGGUUACUUACACACUUAGCCUCUGUUUUAUGUAUACUAGUGAAAAGCAGUUCCUCUCCAUGAAAAACAAAUAAUUCUUAAGUGAUGCCAACUAAACUACAUUGUAUGUUUGCUUAUGACUAGAAUAAGUCCACACUAUUAAAAGCACAACAUAGUACCUCUAUACUUCUGUUACAGAUUCUUAUUCCUCAGAUUGUAUACAGCAAAGUGAUAUCUUUGAUUUUUAAGAACCUGACACUGAAUCCAAAUUCUGUAGAAGCAUAUUACUUUUAUUUUAGCUAGAAACAUCCCUGCCAGCAUUAGUCAUUUUGUUAGAACAGAACCACUAAUAAGUAACACUAGGAGCCACCAGUGUUCCAAGCACAGACAUGCAUGUACCACCUUCCCUGUUGGCUGUCAGCAGCCACACAUUUCAGAUGAGUUUGGGGAGACCUGCCAUUACCGUGCAGGCAACACAGACUUGCUUCUUUCUGUUAUGAUUGUGGGGGAAUAGGAAUUGCAGGUAAAUAGUUUUUUUUAAAAGCUGUCUGUCUUUGAAAAGCAGAGAAACAACGUUGCAGUUAGUGAGAGGCAUUGGCACAGUGUACAUAUUGCAUGCUUUUUCAUAUCCACAAAUCCUUUUAGAAAGUUUUUCUACUGUAAAUUUACCAUCAGAAAGUAGCUUGAGAACUUAGUCCUUUUCUCUCUCUCUCUCUCUUUUUUGAGUGACUGCAUACUAUGGUAAAUAGUGCCCAAAUAGUUUAGAUAAAAUAACAGUAAAUAUUUGUUUUAUUGCUAUUGUGUUGGUCCCAGGAUAUUAGAGACACAAUGUGAGUGAGGUAAUAUCUUUUAUUGGACCUACUUCUGUUGUUGAGAGAUACAAACUUUCAAGCUUACAUAGAGCUUUAGAAGAUGCUAUUAUGGAUGUUUGUCCAUUAAAAAAAAACAACAACAAUCAUGACAAUAUUGCACGCUCAUGGGAGCCUCUCAAAUAACUCCAGAUACUUGAGCAGUGAGGAAAGCUACAGAUUAGAAUUAAGGUCCAUUACUAGAGCUUUGUGGCAAACAUUUAAAGAGCACUUGUUACAUUAUCUUAUUCCUACCAGCAUCGUCGGUGCUGCACAUUUAAUAGUUCUAAAUAUACCCCAAAAUUAAAAGGAUAAAACUCUGCAGGCUCACAAUCUACUUUCAAAUCAGUAUGUGCCUCCCUACUUAGACUAAAAUUAAGGGACCUCUGACAGAAUCAUAGUGGCAUCUAGGUUUCUGGUAAAGAUGUUCUCUUUUUCUUUAAAGGUUUUUUUAGUCUAGUGCAUUGAGCAUGGGCCAGGAAGUCAAAACUAGAUUCUGUUCCUGACUCUGCCAACAACUCAUUAUGGAACUUUGGGCAAAUCACCUAACCUCCUGUUCUCCUAUCUGUAAAAUGAGGAUGCAUACCCCCCAAAGUAUUUUGA
This is a long non-coding RNA of Dermochelys coriacea (leatherback sea turtle), 8427 nucleotides long. RefSeq lists it as uncharacterized. Lineage: Eukaryota; Metazoa; Chordata; Testudines; Dermochelyidae. The record is from RefSeq and is a predicted model, not a curated record. The transcript has 3 exons.